This 263-nucleotide ribosomal RNA is filed under the name uncultured bacterium. RNAcentral's name for it is "partial 16S ribosomal RNA". It matches the Rfam family "Bacterial small subunit ribosomal RNA", at positions 793 to 1055 of the family's 1533-position model. The record is from RNAcentral.
GUCCACGCCCUAAACUAUGUCAACUGGUUGUUGGGAAUUCACUUUCUCAGUAACGAAGCUAACGCGUGAAGUUGACCGCCUGGGGAGUACGGCCGCAAGGUUAAAACUCAAAGGAAUUGACGGGGACCCGCACAAGCGGUGGAUGAUGUGGUUUAAUUCGAUGCAACGCGAAAACCUUACCCACCUUUGACAUGUACGGAAUCCUUUAGAGAUAGAGGAGUGCUCGAAAGAGAGCCGUAACACAGGUGCUGCAUGGCUGUCGU